CAAUCACGAAAGAUAAAGAAACAGAUCGAUUUAAGAUAGUCCGCAUCAAUUCUUUGAGAACGAAUAAGUAUGUAAGUGCUUACUUACAUAUACCAUCAAAGAUAGGCGAGUACAGAGGGGUGAGGAAGAAGAGGUAGAAACUGCUUAAGGAGGCCACGGAAUCUGCAGACGUCGUCUCACCAUCAACCAGUUUUCUCAUACGGUCGACAUAUGAUAUUAUCUAAAAUUAAUGAAAUAAAAUGAUUCAGAACGCAAAAAGCUAAAUCAAUUUAUUUUCAUGGCAUUAUCAAACCAAUGAUUUCUAGUGAUUGUAAUCUGAUCGGUCGAUUUCAUGGCAAAGUAAGUAACGUGUACAAAAUGCACAUGUUGAAUGUAUCAUAAAGCUAACACAUUUGUAAAAUAU
Long non-coding RNA from Apis dorsata (giant honeybee), 403 nucleotides. RefSeq lists it as uncharacterized. Lineage: Eukaryota; Metazoa; Arthropoda; Insecta; Hymenoptera; Apidae. The record is from RefSeq and is a predicted model, not a curated record. The transcript is spliced from 2 exons.